Long non-coding RNA from Sapajus apella (tufted capuchin), 793 nucleotides. RefSeq lists it as uncharacterized. The transcript is spliced from 2 exons. NCBI's taxonomy places the organism in Eukaryota, Metazoa, Chordata, Mammalia, Primates, Cebidae. The record is from RefSeq and is a predicted model, not a curated record.
CUGCACUCCAGCCUGAAAAACAGAACAAGACCCUGUCUCAGAUAUAUAUAUAUAUAUAUCUUCUUGUGACUUCUGGUGAGGAGAUUGAGAGGCACCAAAGUUAUUCUUGCGGUUUUUCUUAAAUUAAUACAAAUUUAGAUAGUUACCAUUGCAGAUUGUAGUGAGCCAAGAUUGUGCCACUGCACUCCAGCCGAGGUGACAGAGCGAGACUCCGUCUCAAAAAAUAAAAUAAAUAGUUGCUAUCGCUGAGGUAAACACUGACCUGUGGGAAAGAGAGACCCUUCAACAAUGUAAUGGCUGAUGGGGAAAAAGUAAAAUUGGGAUUAAACAGUUGUUGCAAAUAAUAAUAUCCACACAGGAAACGUAAAUAUUAAUAAUUAAGAAGUUAACCGCUCCAUGAUGUUUGAAUGGGGCUUUUAAGAUUUCUAUUUCAUGUCACGAAGUGGGAGAAGGCCUAAGGGUAACAUUUACUUUCUCAAGAAAAGAUCGAGUUAAAAGGGGCUGGGUAUGUAGCAAAGAGACAGCAAAAAGAGCCUUCAGCAGUAAUUAAGGGGACUGCUCCACCAGCCACGAGCCCAUCUGUGCAUAUGUCUGCACACAUCCACAUGCGUGCUUGCAUUCCUCCCUGUACGCUCGUGGAUGCUAGAGCUGACCUUUUCUACAGCAGUCUUGGCUACCUUCACAUCCUACUCAGGUGAGUGUUAAAAGCGGAUCCUUUGCAUUGUCCGAAACUUGGAUUUUCAUCCAUUUGCCCAUGAUUUUUUAUGAAAGAAAUAAACAGAAUUGUAGCCUG